Molecule: long non-coding RNA, 1217 nt
Filed under: Callithrix jacchus (white-tufted-ear marmoset)
Lineage: Eukaryota; Metazoa; Chordata; Mammalia; Primates; Cebidae
Description: lncRNA (ENSCJAG00000070335.1)
Rfam family: Histone 3' UTR stem-loop (bases 12-57)
Source: RNAcentral
GUUACGUAACCCCAAAGGCUCUUUUAAGAGCCACGCAUGUUUUCAAUAAAUGAGUUGUAAUCCUUUAAUUUCGAAAGGGAGAUUUUUCGAUUUUUCAGCACCAUAUUUCCAAUGGCACUGCAGAGAAAAUAGAAAUUAUGGGGAAUAACGAUAGCUACCAGAAAUGGGAAUGUUCACGGUGAGGACAUAGUAAAUCAUUAGCUCAUUAGUAUCACACAACACUAGCAUAAACUGACAGUAUUGUAAAUGUACAGGCCUUUCGUUUUCGUGUGGAGACUUCCAAGCUGAUCGUGAUGUUGAUCCGAGACUCGGUGUGGUGAUGACGGCCCUGAGCACAACAGAUCACACGCUCUGACAACUUCCUUCUGUUUGGAGCUUUCUCCACCACCACUCCCGCCCCACUUGUAAAAUUUUUACCAUGCAGAUACGUAAUAACUGCAAGUAAAGGCUGAAUAUGAAUACAAUGUGAGCUGAACACGGAACUAUUAAAAAGAUUUAUUGUUUGUUUGCUUUGUAGUUGGGGCCGUUUCUGUGUCAGCUUACGCGAGCGGGGGAAGGAAAGACGUAUCCUAGGCUCUGAGUUUCGGGGCGUGGGAGGCGGGACGGCGGGGGUGUGUGGGAAGAAGCAGCUACUGAGACACCUUAAAAUUCUUUUGGUAACUAUCUUUUUCAGAAAGCCAUUUAAUUUAUAGUCUUCUUUUGGCAGCUGUUAGCUUAAAAGUCUUCUAGGUAACGGAAGAAACCAAACAAUCAUUAAAGGGUCUGAUUGCAGAUAGGCAAGUUACCGCAGGACUGAGGCCCCCUUUGCAGUACAAUUUACCUUUUUUUAGAUGCCCCUGAGUACCGAGGACUGGAAGAGGCAGAAAGGGAAAGAAAACCCCCUUGUGGAAGGAUGUAGCUUCUGCACAAGAUCGAGUCUUACCCUGUCAUCCAGGCGGGAGUGCAGUGUCCCAAUCUUGGCUCACCGCAGCCUGCACCUUCCAGGUUUAAUCGAUUCUUCUGCUUCAGCCUCCCAAACAGCUGUCAUUACAGGUGACAGCAUCGCGGAUGACAUUUUCCAGGAAAACCUUCAGCACUCCGCGAGUCUCCUCAUAGAUAAGACCAGAAAUACGCUUGACACCGCCGCGGCGAGCCAAGCGCCGGAUGGCGGGCUUGGUGAUUCCCUGGAUGUUGUCACGCAAUACUUUACGAUGACGCUUGGCGCCACCCUUGCCUAG